CCUACGGGAGGCAGCAGUAGGGAAUCUUCCACAAUGGACGAAAGUCUGAUGGAGCAACGCCGCGUGAACGAUGAAGGCCUUUGGGUCGUAAAGUUCUGUUGUAAGGGAAGAACAAGUGCCGCAGGCAAUGGCGGCACCUUGACGGUACCUUGCGAGAAAGCCACGGCUAACUACGUGCCAGCAGCCGCGGUAAUA
Molecule: ribosomal RNA, 195 nt
Filed under: uncultured bacterium
Lineage: Bacteria
Description: partial 16S ribosomal RNA
Rfam family: Bacterial small subunit ribosomal RNA
Source: RNAcentral